Molecule: ribosomal RNA, 853 nt
Filed under: uncultured bacterium
Lineage: Bacteria
Description: bacterial SSU rRNA
Rfam family: Bacterial small subunit ribosomal RNA
Source: RNAcentral
GACGAACGCUGGCGGCGUGCUUAACACAUGCAAGUCGAGCGAUGAAACACCUUCGGGUGUGAAUUAGCGGCGAACGGGUGAGGAACACGUGAAGAAUCUGCCUUCAACUCUGGGAUAACUCCGGGAAACCGGGGCUAAUACCGGAUAUGAGCCUUGAUCGCAUGAUCGGGGCUGGAAAGUUUUUCGGUUGAAGAUGACUUCACGGCCUAUCAGCUUGUUGGUGAGGUAAUGGCUCACCAAGGCGACGACGGGUAGCCGGCCUGAGAGGGCGACCGGCCACACUGGGACUGAGACACGGCCCAGACUCCUACGGGAGGCAGCAGUGGGGAAUAUUGGGCAAUGGAGGAAACUCUGACCCAGCGACGCCGCGUGAGGGAUGAAGGCCUUCGGGUUGUAAACCUCUUUCAGUAGGGAAGAAGCGAAAGUGACGGUACCUACAGAAGAAGCACCGGCUAACUAUGUGCCAGCAGCCGCGGUAAUACAUAGGGUGCAAGCGUUGUCCGGAAUUAUUGGGCGUAAAGAGCUCGUAGGUGGUUCGAUACGUCGGAUGUGAAAAUCAGGGGCUCAACCCCUGACCUGCAUCCGAUACGGUCGAGCUGGAGUUUGGUAGGGGAGACUGGAAUUCCUGGUGUAGCGGUGGAAUGCGCAGAUAUCAGGAGGAACACCGAUGGCGAAGGCAGGUCUCUGGGCCAAUACUGACACUGAGGAGCGAAAGCGUGGGGAGCGAACAGGAUUAGAUACCCUGGUAGUCCACGCCGUAAACGGUGGGCGCUAGUUGUGCGAACCUUCCACGGUUUGUGCGACGCAGCUAACGCAUUAAGCGCCCCGCCUGGGGAGUACGAUCGCAAGAUUA